UACGGAGGGUGCAAGCGUUAUCCGGAUUCACUGGGUUUAAAGGGUGCGUAGGUGGGCAGGUAAGUCAGUGGUGAAAUCUCCGGGCUUAACCCGGAAACUGCCAUUGAUACUAUCUGUCUUGAAUACCGUGGAGGUGAGCGGAAUAUGUCAUGUAGCGGUGAAAUGCUUAGAUAUGACAUAGAACACCAAUUGCGAAGGCAGCUGACUACACGAAUAUUGACACUGAGGCACGAAAGCGUGGGGAUCAAACAGG
Molecule: ribosomal RNA, 253 nt
Filed under: uncultured bacterium
Lineage: Bacteria
Description: partial 16S ribosomal RNA
Rfam family: Bacterial small subunit ribosomal RNA
Source: RNAcentral